This 1359-nucleotide ribosomal RNA is filed under the name Sminthopsis crassicaudata (fat-tailed dunnart). Its description in RNAcentral is "bacterial LSU rRNA". It matches the Rfam family "Bacterial large subunit ribosomal RNA", at positions 1422 to 2794 of the family's 2925-position model. The record is from RNAcentral. Lineage: Eukaryota; Metazoa; Chordata; Mammalia; Dasyuromorphia; Dasyuridae.
GAAACAGGUUAAUAUUCCUGUACUGAUCAUAAUUGCGAUGGGGGGACGGAGAAAGCUAGGCCAGCACACUGUUGGAUGUGUGUUUAAGCGCGUAGGUUGGGGACUUAGGCAAAUCCGGGUUCCUAAGACUGAAACGUGAUGACGAGUUUCUACGGAAACGAAGUGGUUGAUGCUCUGCUUCCAGGAAAAGCCUCUAAGCUUCAGAUUAUGACAACCGUACCCCAAACCGACACAGGUGGGUAGGAAGAGAAUUCCAAGGUGCUUGAGAGAACUCGGGUAAAGGAACUCGGCAAAAUGAUACCGUAACUUCGGGAUAAGGUAUGCCUCUGAUGGUGAAUAGCUGUUGGAGGCCGCAGAGAAUAGGCCGCUGCGACUGUUUAUCAAAAACACAGCACUCUGCAAACACGCAAGUGGACGUAUAGGGUGUGACGCCUGCCCGGUGCCGGAAGGUUAAUUGAUGGGGUGCAAGCUCUUGAUCGAAGCCCCGGUAAACGGCGGCCGUAACAAUAACGGUCCUAAGGUAGCGAAAUUCCUUGUCGGGUAAGUUCCGACCUGCACGAAUGGCGUAACGAUGGCGGCGCUGUCUCUACCCGAGACUCAGUGAAGUUGAAAUCGCUGUGAAGAUGCAGUGUACCCGCGGCAAGACGGAAAGACCCCGUGAACCUUCACUACAGCUUGACACUGAACAUUGAAAUAAGUUGCAUAGGAUAGGUGGGAGGCUUUGAAGCAGAGACUCUGGUUUCUGUGGAGCCGACCUUGAAAUACCACCCUGCUUAUUUUGAUGUUCUAACGUAGACCCGUAAUCCGGGUUGCAGACAGUGUCUGGUGGGUAGUUUGACUGGGGCGGUCUCCUCCCAAAGAGUAACGGAGGAGUGCGAAGGUGGGCUCGGUGCGGUCGGAAAUCGCACCAAGAGUGCAAAGGCAGAAGCCCGCUUAACUGCGAGACAGACAAGUCGAGCAGAUACGAAAGUAGGUCUUAGUGAUCCGGUGGUUCUGAAUGGAAGGGCCAUCGCUCAACGGAUAAAAGGUACUCCGGGGAUAACAGGCUGAUUCCUCCCAAGAGUCCAUAUCGACGGAGGAGUUUGGCACCUCGAUGUCGGCUCAUCACAUCCUGGGGCUGUAGCAGGUCCCAAGGGUAUGGCUGUUCGCCAUUUAAAGUGGUACGCGAGCUGGGUUCAGAACGUCGUGAGACAGUUCGGUCCCUAUCUGCCGUGGGCGUUGGAGAUUUGAGGGAAGCUGUUCUUAGUACGAGAGGACCGGAAUGGACGAACCUCUGGUGUACCGGUUGUCACGCCAGUGGCACAGCCGGGUAGCUAUGUUCGGAAGGGAUAACCGCUGAAAGCAUCUAAGCGGGAAACU